This 20592-nucleotide long non-coding RNA is filed under the name Setaria viridis. Its description in RNAcentral is "long non-coding RNA (SVIR_LNC002899)". Lineage: Eukaryota; Viridiplantae; Streptophyta; Magnoliopsida; Poales; Poaceae. The record is from RNAcentral.
GUUUUUUUUUUUGCUCCAAUCAAGGAUCAGUACUAGCUGGUGCUAAUCUAAGUCCCAACAGUUCCAACCAAUGCCGUUCUCUUUUAAUUAAAAAAAGUGUCCCACGCCAGUGCAUUUGUUGGAGGGACAAAAGUAUACUGUCUACUUGUCCUGGAUAGAACUCCUGGAAGGCGUAAGAACGUCUACGUGCAUAUAUAUAAUUAUAUACUCCUAUAUAGUAUAUAUGUUUCCUUAUUGAAAUCACUAUGCCUUGACCAGUACUCAAGGCCACAAAACAAUGGCAAUUAUUGCGGUACAUGCACAUGCCUGGGUGACACUCACCUGUCACCUGUAUACAAUUCACCUUCAAAUGAAAGAAGACUAUGGCCCUUGCAUGCAUCUGGCCUAUUCUUUUUUUUCUUCUUUUCUUUUCUUUUCGGCGACAAUUAUAGUUGGACUGGAAAAAAGCUUUGGACCAGAAACAGUUGAUCGUUUUAAAGAUCGAGUGGUUGCCAAUGUGAUUGCUUAUCAUUUGGAUUGAUAACAUUUGUGUGGCUCCUUGAUUGGUUCAUGAAUGGUUUCUUUUUAAGCUAGAAAACAUACAAGGCCAGGCCGGGCCGGGCCGGGCCAAUCAGACCUACCAGGUCCUAUAUAACCCACCCAGGUAAGGUCAGGUCAGGCUAGUUGUGUGCUGCCGCAGGCACAUGAUGAAAGCUCUUUGACACGGAUGGGUCCUAUUGGGAGGGAGAAAAACCUGUCUAUAUAUGAGAAGCUAUCGUAUUCCGAACCAUAAAUUGACGUAACCUAUAAACGGACUUGAAAGGGUGUGUGAUCGAGUACAAUCAUUUCUGAAUUGUAAUGUGGCAGCAACAUCAACAACCGCCAUCUCUUUUUGCAGCGAAAAGAAGCAUCAUGCGUGACUGCUAGUUCUUUUUCCAAGGAAUACAAUGAUGUAUUUGGACAGGGAAAUCUGCAGUGUGAUAUGCACAUCAUACAAUGGUCCUAACCUCACCGUGACAUUGUGUGCACAUCGCUUGGACGCUAUUUUACUUUCUUUGUGUCCGGGCAUAAGCAGGUCUGCGUUGGACUAACCCGUUGUGAGAACUGAGAGUCUGAGACGCUUGCUUGAACCGGAAACAUCUUUUAACUAAGAAUCUAACGAUGCGAUCUUCAUAUAGCAAACCUAUGUAGUGGUUUCAAAUGUAUAUAAGUGGUUGUGAUCAAGACUGCUCUGUUUUUUCAUUUUCAAGUAAGAAGGAACCAUGGCCUAUGUCGCAGUCAGUUAAUCAGGCCCCGUUCGGUUAGCACGUUCAGCACGUUCCAGGCCGUUCCACGUCAGGAACGGUUCCGUCCUUAUAUAAAUUAGUGAAGGAAUCCUCCGGCUGGGAUUGAUUCCUGACGGCAAAAUAGGUAAUUUGGUACCGAACUUUGCACUAAGAGUUAAGUUCGUCUCUCAACUUUCAGAUUAGUCAAUUUAGACCCUCAACUUUUAUUUUUAUUUAAACUUGUCCUUGUGUUGAUUAGUGCUCUAUGUUUGCAUAAGAUUAAAGCAAAAGGUCCCUUUUACCCUUAGCUCAUGUAGAUCAAACAUAUAUGUGCUCAUACUCCCUUCAUACAUGCACACAACAAUAUAUUUUUUAAACUAACACAAAAUAUGAUUUGUAAAAAGUGUAUCUACUCGUACUCUUUAAAGUCCUUCAUGUGAUCAUACAAAUUUGAUAGGCAAAAUAUAUAUAUACCAAAUAAAUAUUUACUCAUUCUGUUUCAUAUUAGUUUCAUGAUAGUAUGGAGUCACGUAUCAGCAUAAGGAUAAGUUUGAUUAAAAACGAAAAUUAAGGGACUAAAUUGCUUCAGAUUGAGAGAUGAAAUUGACCUUCGAUGUUCAUGAUCAAAUUGCCUAUUUUGCCAUUCCUAACCAACCGAACGUGGCCUAAAUGUGACCUCGUGGACGGUAUUCGCGUCCAUGCCAUUUUCUCCUCACCUGAAUCUGCCAAAGCGAUAUUUACCUCAAGAGACAAAGGCCCCUAUAGUGAUCUCUGAUGCAAACGCAGCGCCACGUCAAAUCAAUCCCAAUCCCCAUUCCCUUCGCUCUCUAGCUCGCGGUGGGGCACGCACCGGCGGCAGCAUAGCACACGGUAAUCCGCGAAUCAGCGGAGGGGUUAGUGCCGCGGGCUCGGAAAAGGACGUGGACGCCAGUUCCGGGACCACGCCAGUUCCGGGGCUGCGAAAGCAGGGGUAAAUUGCCAGCUUUGGGUAAAUUGGUCGGGAGGCGAGAGACGUAAAUGGAAAUCGCAGCGGGUGGCGGAAAUGGAAAUUUCUUUUUUAUUUGUAUAUACCCCCACUUGGCUCUCGUAAUCCACGUAAAUAGGUUUAAGAAAAAGGGACGUCCGUGAUCCACGAGCAUCUGGAGAGUCUAGUCUGGACAUAAAGGGCCAUGCGUAAUUCUAGGUUAGUGGCUAUCCCCUGAGAUUUGGUCGCCGCUCGUUGCGGUAACGUGCUGAGCAACCGAUGUUGGGCUGUAAGAAUAUUGCAUCGUGCCAAUCGUGUAGCUCAGCCUCAGGUGUCCACUCUCUCUGGUUAGAACAGAUGAAAGCUACUAUAGUUGGACUGAAAAAAAGCUUUGGACCAGAAAAAGUUCUAAACAUAACCCUAUCUCCUUUCUUUCUCCUUUCUUUCAAAAAAACAAUCAAAAAAUCAAAAAGAGAAGGAUCCAGUUGGUGACCCUAUUGUGUGGUGGCUCGUGUCGAUGUCCCAAUCCGAUCGGACAGAGAUUGUGGAGGCUCUUAUCGAUGACCCAAUCCGACCGAGCGGAGUUUAGUUGAGACUCGUGUCGAUGACCAAAUCCGACCGGGUGGAGCGCUAGGAGGCCGCACGGCGGCAGGAGUUGAGCUCGGCAUGUGUUGAUGUCCCAAUCCAACCGGUCGAUAUGUUGUUGAGUUGAGUUGAGUGCAAUGGUGUGGUGCGGCACGUGUUGAUGACUCAAUCCAACCUGCCGGUGUUUAUUUUGUUUUUUUUCCAUUUGUUGUUUCGCAAGUCUGGACUUCAUCUUCUUUUUAAUAUAAUUGGCAGCUGCCUGGUUCGUUUAAAAAAAACAUAACCUAUAGUUAGACGCAUAGCAAAUUUAUUUAUUUAGAAAAAACAAAACGACCUACAUUUUGGAACUGAGGGAGUAUAAAAACCUUUUAGUAAAAAACUUUUAGUAUGAAAGCCAGUGCUAGUAGCAAAGUUAGCCAGAGGAUGGUGGUGAUUGGCGGUAAAUCGAUAAUGUCAGCUAUGGGACCGCGACAGUGUUGAGGAUCGCAGGGUGUCACAACGACCAUCGAGCUCGGCGUUUUAGUGUGAUCAUAGAAGGAACAAGAUUCGGUGGCAUGAAGCGGUAAAAAUCAUGGAAAGAGGAUAUGGUGAGGUAAGGGCGUGUUCAAGAAGCUCAGUUGAUUAAAAAAGAAAAGAUGCGAGAAUAACAUUCCAUUGCUUAGGAAGUUUAUCAGAAAAAUAGUCAUUUUAAUCCCUCAAAUUUGUCUCGAGACCAAAGUCUGUCCCUCAAAUUUUAUUAUCGGCCAAUUUAGUCCCUCAACUAUUGGUUUUGGAUCAAACUUGUCCUUAUGCUGAUGUGGUGCUCUUUGUUGGUAUGAGACUAAUGCGGAAAAUCUUUUUUACAUUUGGAUCAUGUAGUUCAAAUAUGUAUGUGCUCAUAUUUCUUUGAUAUAUACACGCAAAAAUAUUUUUUUAACUAACACAAAUGGUUUCUAAAAAAUGCACGUCCAUGAUACUAAACGUUAAACGGUCGGUCACCUACAGUUUAGCUCUUUAUUCGAACUAAACGGCUAAACAAAUGAUUAAAUAGACACAGUUGGGCACUAUGUAGCAUUUACACGGCGUGUGAACGUGCUAAACAGCCAUGUAGAAGAAUAAUGAGUACUCGCAUGUGCUCAUACAAAUUUGAUAUGCAAAAUGUAUGUACUCAAACAAGUAUUAACUCAUACUAUUUGGUAUAUAUACAACUCAAUGUAUAUAUACAUAUCUAAAAUUGGCAUGUGGGCAUGUGCUCACAUGCUCGUAGUAUAUUAUAUAUACUCUCCACGUAUGCAUUCAUAUUGUCUCAGUAAACACACACAAAUAUAUAUAUAUAUAUAUAUGCUCAUAUUCAUUUCGGAUCAUCCUGAUAUUCUGCUUGUAACAUCGGAAAUUUGAGGGGAAGAAGGAGCUAAGGGCAAAAAUCACUUUUCGCAUCAGUUUCAUGCCAACAUGGAGCCCCCACAUAAAUAUAAGGACAAGUUUGAAAAAAAUAAGAGUUGAAGGAUUGGAUUGGCCAAUCUGAAAGUUGAGGGACUAACUUGGCUCUUGUUGAGGGAUUAGAUUGACCAAUCUGAAAGUUCUUUAGAGUAAAAUUGAGAGAUCAAAACGUUUAUUUUGUCAAGUUCAUCCUGAUUUUUGCGCUUGAUAUUAUUAACGUAAUAUGUGUCCAUUAAUCUUUCCCUUGGAUAGGUGGUGGCUAUGGUAUUAGCAUAUAGCGGGUAGACUCUAAAACAACUAAUAGCGGACUGUAGCGGUUAAAUUGUACAAGAGAAAAAAAGUGAUACCUUGUCUCAAAUAACUAUAGUGGAGUUAUAAACGACUAUUUAAAACCUUAGGUGUUAGUAUGGCAACGAAAUAGUGAAGAUGAUUAUAGGCAGUGGCGAAGCUUCAGUGUAUAUGGGCCGGUAUACUAGACGUUUGCAAUGUUUUAGCCUAAUUUUACCGCUGUUAGUCUAUACAAAUUUUAAACUUUGAGUGGAUCAUGGCCACCUUUGGCCUCACCCACCUCCGCCAAUGGUUUUAUGGGCGGUGAGGAUAGAAUGCUAGAUCAAAUGGAUGGAUAAUAACCUAAAAAUCCAAUAAUUGGAUGGACACGAGGCUAGAUGUCUCAUGUCUGAGUGAGCUGUAGGUUAACUUAUGUAAACGCAUGUUGAUGAUGAUGGGUCACUUUGCACGGCCGGCCGGGUUCCGGAGCCGGAGAACACGGUAAAACAGAGCGAGGAUUUGCAAGGAAAGAGGACGGACAAGAUGGCAGCAGCAAGGUACCAAGCGCAACGAGACGAGGCGGCGGGCUCUCUGCUGCUGCCCCUGCGCUGCUUUGCGCGGAGAGCGACGCGCGCGCCAGCGGGAGCUCGAAACGUGUCCGCCGCAACCCCCACACGCGGUACUGGCUGGCGCGACGCCCAUCGAUCACCCGGCCUAUACGGCUAUACCCCCUUUCUCUCUCUCUCUCUCUCUCUCUCUCUCUCUCUCUCUCUCUCUCUCUCUCUUCUCCGCCCACGCGGCCACGCAACCACGCGCGCGCACGCAGACUUCAGCAGCCUCCCCCCCCCCUAGUCCUGCGGCCGGUGGUGUGGUCUACUGUACUGGAGCACCCUCUCUCUCUCUCUGGGCUCUAUUAUUUUGGCCGCUGAUAAUGCCGGUGGGAAGGGGGGGGGGGGAGGGGGAAAGUCAAGCCUGGCCCUCGUGCUGCUCGCUUAUCUACUCGCGUAUCCACCUGCCACCUGGUGCGAGCCACUGUCCCCUCCUCCGGGCCUCCCUUUCUCUCUCUCUCUCCUGUCCUGCGCUAUGGAUAAGAGGGAGGGGAGAGAGAAAGAGAAAGAGAGACGGCACAGUUACUGCACCGGGCGUGGUCCAGAGCCUGUGCCGGUGUAGGCCCAGCCGCCCAAGAGCCCACAAGCCGAGCCGAGAGGGCUAGCUCAUCAGCUCGGCUCGGCUCUCUCAGCUCACCACGAGUCACACACGAGCUAGCUGUGCUUUUUGUGAGGAAUCUCAAAUGGGCUAGGCUGCCCGAAUGAGCAAUAGCCCAUUAGAGCCAUAGAUUCAAACGGGUCAAUUUCUCAUAGGCCCAACACCUUGCGAGAAGCCCAGCCCAGCCCCGCGCCUCUUUCGCCACCGUCUCUCCCGGCACCGGCGCACCGCCUCAAAUCAAAACAAAAAGAUCCCGGAGCCAACCUCGCCGCCGCCGCCGCCUCGUCGUUUGCUACCUCUCCAAUUGCCGCCUCCUCCCCACCGACCGGCCCAGCUGCCCCCUACUCCUUUGUUCGCUCCUCGUCUCUCCUCCCCCACCUGCAGCCCCCAUCGGCAGCAUGUCGGGCCCGGCCCCGACCCCGACCCCGCUGCCGCCCGCCCGGCGCGGUACGACUUCCUCAACUCCAAGCCGCCGCCCAACUAUGUCGCGGGUCUCGGCCGCGGCGCCACCGGGUUCACCACCCGCUCGGAUAUCGGGCCGGCCCGCGCGGCGCCCGACCUGGCCGACCGCUCCGCCGCCGCCGCCGGCCCAGGCGUCGGCCGCGGCCGAGGGAAGGCGCCCGGCGAGGACGACGGCGGGGACGACGGUGGCGGCGACGAGGAGAAGGGGUACGACGAGAACCAGAAAUUCGACGAGUUCGAGGGCAACGACGCCGGCCUCUUCUCCAGCGCCGACUACGACGACGACGACCGCGAGGCGGACGCGGUGUGGGAGAGCAUCGACCAGAGGAUGGACUCGCGCCGCAAGGACCGCCGCGAGGAGCGGCUCAAGCAGGAGAUCAAGAAGUACCGCGCGUCGAACCCAAAGAUCACCGAGCAGUUUGCGGACCUCAAGAGGAAGCUGGCCGAUCUGUCCGCGCACGAGUGGGAGAGCAUACCGGAGAUUGGGGACUAUUCUCUGCGCAACAAGAAGAAGCGGUUCGAGAGCUUCGUCCCGGUGCCGGACACCCUGCUUGAGAAGGCUCGGCAGGAGCAGGAGCAUGUCACGGCGCUUGACCCCAAGAGCCGUGCGGCUGGUGGCACUGAGACGCCAUGGGCACAGACUCCUGUUACUGAUCUCACAGCUGUAGGCAAGGGUCGUGGCACUGUGCUUUCACUGAAGUUGGAUAGGUUGUCAGAUUCGGUUUCCGGCCUCACUGUUGUUGAUCCCAAGGGAUACUUGACGGACCUAAAAAGCAUGAAGAUUACUAGCGAUGCUGAGAUUUCUGACAUCAAGAAGGCACGACUAUUGCUCAAGUUGGUGACGCAGACAAACCCUAAGCACCCACCCGGUUGGAUUGCUGCUGCUAGGCUUGAAGAGAUUGCCGGCAAGCUUCAGGCUGCUCGGCAGCUCAUCCAGCGUGGCUGUGAGGAGUGUCCCAAGAACGAGGAUGUUUGGCUUGAGGCGUGCCGUUUGGCUAGUCCAGAUGAGGCAAAGGCUGUCAUUGCGGGGGCGUGAUGUCAAUUCCAAAUUCUGUGAAGCUGUGGUUGCAGGCAGCAAAAUUGGAGACCAGUGAUCUGAAUAAGAGCAGGGUGUUGAGGAAAGGGUUGGAGCACAUCCCUGAUUCUGUCCGGCUGUGGAAGGCUGUAGUUGAGCUUGCGAAUGAGGAGGAUGCAAGGCUGUUGCUUCACAGGGUUGUAGAGUGUUGCCCGCUGCAUGUUGAGCUUUGGCUUGCCCUUGCCAGGCUGGAGACCUAUGACCAAGCAAGGAAGGUACUUAAGAAGGCAAGGGAGAAGCUCCCCAAGGAGCCUGCCAUAUGGAUUACAGCCGCGAAGCUAGAGGAGGCGAAUGGGAACACGCAAUCGGUUAACAAGGUGAUCGAGAGAGGUAUCAGAUCUCUACAGAGAGAAGGAAUGGAUAUUGAUAGGGAGGCCUGGCUAAAGGAAGCAGAAGCAGCGGAGCGUGCUGGAUCUGUGUUGACUUGCCAGGCUAUUGUGAAGAACACUAUUGGCAUUGGUGUUGAUGACGAGGAUCGGAAGCGUACAUGGGUUGCUGAUGCUGAGGAAUGCAAGAAGCAUGGUUCAAUUGAAACAGCACGUGCCAUCUAUGCACAUGCACUUACUGUGUUCCUUACUAAGAAGAGUAUCUGGCUGAAAGCAGCUCAGCUUGAGAAGAGCCACGGGAGUAGGGAGUCACUUGAUGCGCUCCUCAAGAAGGCUGUUAACUACAAUCCACGAGCUGAGGUGUUAUGGCUUAUGGCUGCAAAGGAGAAAUGGCUGGCUGGGGACGUGCCUGCUGCUUGGGCCAUCCUUCAGGAAGCUUAUGCUGCUAUUCCCAAUUCAGAAGAGAUCUGGCUGGCAGCAUUCAAGAUCGAGUUUGAGAACAAUGAGCCAGAGAGAGCAAGAAUGCUUUUGGCCAAGGCCAGGGAAAGAGGAGGCACUGAGAGGGUUUGGAUGAAAUCUGCAAUUGUUGAGAGGGAAUUGGGGAAUCUGAGUGAGGAAAGGAGGUUGUUAGAGGAAGGUCUGAAGCUUUUCCCUUCAUUCUUCAAAUUGUGGUUAAUGCUGGGACAGAUGGAAGACCGGAUUGGUCAUGGAGUGAAGGCCAAGGAGAUUUAUGAGAAUGGCCUGAAGCACUGCCCCAGUUGCAUCCCUCUUUGGCUCUCUCUAGCUAGCCUUGAGGAGAAGAUUAGUGGCUUGAGUAAAUUGCGUGCUGUCCUUACAAUGGCAAGAAAGAAGAACCCAGCUACACCUGAACUCUGGCUUGCAGCAAUUCGAGCUGAAUUGAGGCAUGGGAACAAAAAGGAAGCCGAUGCUCUACUGGCCAAAGCAUUACAAGAGUGUCCAACAAGUGGUAUUCUUUGGGCUGCAGUGGUUGAGAUGGCGCCACGCCCCCAGCGUAAAGGAAAGAGUUCGGAUGCUAUUAAGCGAUGUGAUCAUGAUCCACAUGUCAUUGCAACUGUGGCCAAACUUUUCUGGCAUGAAAGGAAGGCUGAUAAAGCUAGGACUUAGUUGAACAGGGCUGUUACUCUCGCUCCUGAUAUUGGUGAUUUUUGGGCAUUGUACUAUAAAUUUGAACUUCAGCAUGGAAAUGUGGAUACACAAAAGGAUGUUCUGAAUAGCUGUGUUGCAGCUGAACCAAAACAUGGUGAGAAAUGGCAAGCAAGAACCAGGGCUGUUGAAAACUCACACCAGCCAGUUGAGGCUCUCCUGAAGAAAGCUGUCGUGGCACUUGACGCAGAAGAAAAUGCCAAUGCCGCAGGCGCCUAGGCUCCUAGAUCACAUUUUUAAGGUAUUUGGUGAACGUGUAUUGUACUACUGCUAUGUUAUCUUCUAGUAUUUCCUUUUAUUGUUGAGUAAAUCACUGCAUGAGAGUUGGAAGUGGGUGGUUUAAGACAAGUUGAAUUAUUAUUUUUGUUUGCAUAAUGUAGUACCAAUAUCAUGCUCAAAUCUAGUUCCUUUAUAUGCCAACUCUCAGGUGUUAUAUAACUCUCUUUAACUGCUAUAGACAUAUUCUACUGUUGCUUUAUUGUUUGCAACCAGCUUGAUGCGAAGUUUCUGCUGUAGUGACUACCACGGGUGGCCCACAUAGCCUACAUAAGGACCUCAGCUAGCCUAAUUGCUCCUCUGCUCCUUUCACUGCAUGCAACAGCAGCUGCCAUGAUGGCUCUUCUUUCUUCCCCAACUCAGUUCACUAUUUCACACCACCGACUAGCAAAACGGGUCGCCCACGCCUGCCUCAUCAGUCCAGUACCCUUGGAUUUUUGUGCUCUUCUCAGACCCAGCCCCCUCUCCAAGCUCUCUCCAAUUCGGUGGAGGUAUCAACAAGUAUUGAAAGCCAUGAUUAUUUAUGGACGGGAAGAAAAAUAUCAGUGGAUGUAUCAGCAAUUAUCGAAAGCCAUACCGCCAAUUAUAUUCUUUAUCUUAAAAUUGCAAUUGCUACACGUAUCAGUCCAUAUCACGUUGUAGCAUAUACAAGUACGGCGGCCUACAUGAAGUAUUGGUGAUACAUAGCUAGAUAGUACAAAUGGGGAUCUGAUAAAAACAAAGAAAUGAUAUUGUUACUUUGUUAGUGGUACUAGUGUUGACUGUAAGGAUUAUGGUUCCAUCACACCUAUGAUAUUGCAUAGUUAAAUUAUUGGUGGAGCAUGAGUGAAUAUUAUGCCCAGCUGUUACUUCUCACUGCAGAUUGAUAAGAUGUGUCCUUGUUCCUGAGUGGAAUGUGAUAGCUUCUGAUAAGAUGAGUUGAAGCAAAACCAAGACAUAGUGAGAGAUGGCAAGCAGUAACUAAGCCUGCUGAGAACUCACAUCAGCCAGUUGACGCCAUUCAAGGCUCUUCAUAGAGAAGAAAAUCCCAAUGCUGCAGACACCUAGGCUCCUAGUUCAGACUGUCUCGAUAAGGUAUUUGGGUGCAGCAUACGCUAUACUGCUAUCUGAUCAAGAGAAAUAUGGUGCAUAAUUUUUCUGUAACUUCUUAUUGCCUCAUGCUGAGCUACGUUUGGUUUCAGUGUCUUACUGUAUUGUUCAAUUAAAAGUUCUAAUUUUGAGGAAAUAUCUGACCCUAAAGAUUUGAGCUGCAAGUAGGUGGUUUAAGAUAAGCAGAGUUGUUUUUAUUCUUUUGCAUCAUUGUUAUGCCUCAUGCUUUUAAUGUAGUUACGUAUUGUUGCAUGUCAAAGCGGCAUCAAUGAUAUAUUUAAGCUGCAUAGACGAUCCUAAUUUACAACCUGGUUGAUGCAGAUGUCCCAUCAUCAAGGCUUCACUUUGACAGUUUUGUUUUAGCUCUUAGGAUGAUAGGUGGUUGGUCUUCUUAGCUCACAGAACCAUAUGGUUAUUAACAGUUUUGGUUACGAACCAUCACUUUGUAGUUUUAGGUUAAAGUCCAUCGCUACUAUACAAUUUUGUGCACUUAUGAUAGUUGAGUAAAAGGUCAAUCAGCAGAGAGUUGCUCCAUGCUCCAAACAAGCUUUCUGUGACUAUGGAGUGCGCACCCCAGAGCUAUUAAAUAUUUAAUUCCCCAAAUGACACCAGUGAUGUUAUGGCUCAUGUACUGGAAAUUGUAACAGAAAUGGUUGGCUAUUAUGUGUCCAACUCUUUAAGUUCAUUUGGAGAACAGUGAAAGUUUGAUAAAAUGACUUGAAGGAUAUUUACUUAUUUAGGCUUGAUUGUGAAAUGUUCUGUUCCCACUUAUGCCCACAUUGGUACAGAUCAUGUUACUGUUCUACAUGGAAUCAUGGGCUUACUUUUUCACGCAUGCUUGAUGGAUAGUUUUGCUUUGCCCUGUGGGAUUUUUCAUCGGCUAAGAAUCUGUUUUAUUUUCCCUGUCUGCUCACAGGUCUAAAUCUUAUGCGCUCUGGCAUUGGAAUGACUGAAGAAAGUUGCAAGAGUGUGGCAGCAAACCAGCUUGGACUCGAGUAACUUUCUAUCGGGCGUGCACACCAUACUGUUUUUUGCAUGUUGCCUGAGACGAGUUGAUGUUGCAGCAUUGCCCAAGUCAAGAUCUGAUCCUGGGCAUUGCCAAAGACGAGAGCUUAGGUCAGAAACAUGUGAUUCAUUGGUGAUAUGUCUAUGUAAUGUAGAACUUCAGUUUAUCACGAUGUGCAUCCUGUGCAUUCCCAGAUAUACCAGAAGUUGUUGACACUUUGUAAUUGUGUAUGUGCAGUUCCAUGUGUGCUUUGUACGGAAGUUCUCGUCGUUCCCUAUAAUCUGGCUCAAUGCUGGCAAAAUUUAGCUUGUGUUUCCAUUUUCCAAUGCGCGCUGGUGUUUUGCUCAGCCACUGUAUACCUGGCAAAAAGUUUCGUCGUCUUUGACAGUCAUUUUUUAUGUGCGAACAGUAAGAAUCGUAAUAUUGAAUAUUUCAUUCGCAUAAAAGGUCUAGAAAUUACGGGGAAAGGGAACAUUUCUUAAUUAUAAGCUUGUUGAACAUGACACAAAUUGCUAAGACCUCGUUCCCAAACCUGUCGUUUUUUCUGUUUGAGAGUAUAUAAUAUUAUAUGAACCUGUUCGCUUCAGCUUAUUCAGUCAGUCAUGUUAGGUCGGGUCGGGUCGUGUCGACCAUGUAAAUGGGCCGCACGGGGCAAGAUCAAUCAAUAAACCGCGCAUUCAGCCCAAUUUUCUCGUCGGCCCGACCCACCCAUCCACCCGUGUCUGGUUGGCGGUCGGCCACCGAUGGCUGUCAGUUUGCGGGACCCACUUGAAAGAGACAGGAAAAGUCGUAUCCAGCAGUUUCCUCACUCCUGGGUGAGGGGGAAGCCGUCGCGGCGCGAGCAGGACGGCAGAAUCCGCCGAGCUGCGUUGGGCUCCGAACCCGCUCCAGUUCUGGCGCUGCCGCAAUUCGUCUAGCUUCAUCGAGGGAAGCCUCACGGAAGUUGAGGGGACGCGACAAGCUAGGCCCUGCCUUCCACACGAACUCUUCUCUCGCCCUCCUCUUCCCCGCGACCCCGCCUGCCAUCUUCUGUUGCUGGAUUGCCGUGGGGUGGAAAUUCAACAGGACUUCCACUGAUUUCUUCACUCGUUGGUAAGCAAAGGAGGCUUUCCUCGACGCAUUGUUCUAGUACUGGGAACUUCUUAUGUUCUAGGGGACAGUCUCUUUGUCGUGGCUGUGGGCGAUCAAAUCCAAAUUCUGUAGUUCUCUAGUUAGACGCCGAUUUAUGUGCAGUUUGAUGCCUUAGGAAUCCAGAUAAUCGAAGUUAUAAGAAAUUCCAAAUCGCAAGGUCAACCUAGCUUGUUUUUCCAGAGAGAGAAGGAGAGAGGAUGUUCCCCAUCCCCAACUUCAGUACACUGCUGCAUAUGUAAUGUAGAAUACCUUUAUGUUUUUGAGUAAGGUAGUAUAUUACCGUAAAAUUCCUAAGACCUUUCUGGUAGUGGUAGGAUUGAUAAAUUUGCUGCACCUUUUAGCGUUGACUAUUUGAAUAUGUUAUCGCCGAGCUAAGAAUAAAGUUUGACUUGUUAAUUAUCUGUAGUAAAUCAUUGUUCCUUCAUAUUCGCAUAUGAAGUUGCACUGUUUCGACUUUCGAUACUAUCACAACACAUUACCAUACUUUCUAGGUUGUAUAUGGAGCAGAGCUUUGAGUUGGAUUUGUUAAUUCUAGUUACUUGAAGCACAUUCCAUAACCAUGGCCAACAAAAGGUGCUUCCAUGUGAUAUCUGCACCUUUAUGCAAUUGCAAAGACGUAAAUAUUUUGCUGUUCCUUGAAAUCCUUACAAUUUUCAUGAGCAAGCCUUUGAGUCUGCAUAUCGGUGGGCAUUUGCAGAGAAAAUCGACAAAAGACAUCAGUAGGAACGAAUGGGUUACGGCAUGAGUAGGCUAGAAGAUGAAUACUUUGAGCCUGAAGGGCAGGAUGCUGAUGGAUCUAGUUCAGAUCAAGUGAAUGAUGAGUUCUCAAAAUUACAUAACGAUAUUUUCCAUAUGACUCGAAUGAGAUCAGGACUUAGUGAAAGCAUUUACAAGUCCGUGGGUGCCAACAGAGGCAUAAUAUCAACGGCCAAGUUGUUAUCUGGAAGGGAGGUUGAUUGUUCUGGAAAGGGAAAGUUCUCUUCAGGUGACCGUGCAUUUGUUCUUGGUCGCUAUGUUCCAAUGAACGGUCCUGAAUUGUUGGAUAGGAUGGAUUCUCGUGCUUAUGUUUCACAGUUUUCUGCCGAUGGUACUCUUUUUGUUGCUGGUUUUCAGGUAUGCUAUGCUCAACCAAAAAAUAGUAAAGGUUUUACAAAGUUCGAGUUGGCAAAUUUCCUGCAGUUUAUUUUGUUUUUGUUUUCCUGUCACCAUUUUAUGCAUUUUUUAAAAGAGAAAAAAAUUAUGAAAAGCAUAUAACAUUUCUUUUCCUUUUCCAGGGAAGUCAUAUAAGAAUAUAUGAUGUUGACAGAGGUUGGAGGAUACACAAGGACAUUCAUGCUAGAAAUUUGAGAUGGACAAUCAGUGAUGUAUCCUUAUCACCUGAUCAGCGAUAUCUUGUAAGUUUCUUCUGGCUUUUAACUCCUCUAGCUCACCACCCUUAUUCAACAUGACUUUGUGCCUUUUUGGUUUGUAUAACUCCAUUGUGCAACUUCAUCAGCCAGCGUUGCAGUUAAUCUCUUUCAUUGUUCUUCUUAUUGAGAAGAAGCAUUUCAUAUGCAACUCUGUUCAACAGAUGAAAAAAAUAAACCAAAAUAUGUGGUAUAACUGUACUAAAUGUGGGUUCAUCUUUGCAAAAGAUUUUUGUAUGGGUACAUGUUUACAACAGGUUUUCUGUUUUCCCUUUUUGCUUAUUUCUUUUUGAGGGGAGGGUGUAGGGGGAUGGGCAGCAUCCAGUCUCAUCUAGUGGAAACGUGAUGAAGUUGGGAAGUGGACUUACCAAAAAGAUUAGUAUUCACAAAUGAAAUGUUUUUUUUUCUUUUGGGCAGCUCACAUGGAUCUUACCUGUGUCAAGCUACCAACAUUAAAUGUAUUGAGGUUUUUUUAACCAUUAAGUAAACUAUAAUGACUGAAAGUACAUGUAAGACAAUGAAGUUUACGUGUACAAUUUAGACCUCAUUAAAUCCUUUUGGUCCUUCAAUGAAAUGACAUGUGUUGGUACGAGCAUUCUUGGAGGUUUGCAAAUGCAUGCUAGUUCUUCAUGUCUGCAUAUUAUUUAUUUAUAGACAUACUUCAUCAGUCCCUGUGGAAUACUCUCUCCUUUUCCCAUUUUUGCUUGUAUAUCCGGUUCAAUAAUUAUUUUUUAUCUUUAAUUCUGCAGGUCUACUCUAGUCUAGCACCUAUUAUCCAUAUUGUCAACGUUGGGAAUGCGGCAAGAGAAUCCUAUGCUAAUGUCACUGUGAGUUCUUAUUAGAUUCUUUUCUUUCAAUGCUGCACUCAUGCUCGAACUUUUCAAGUUUUGUAGGGUAAAAAAAGUGAGAUACAGUUGGGUUUUUCUUACUUUCACAUGCCUGGUUUUGCACAGCAAAUGAUCAACUUUUAGAAAUAUUUCUAUUUAAUACAAUUUUCAUGUUAAUCAUCAAUAACUGCAUUUCAUUUUUACUUCCGUCGUGAAUAAAUAGAGCGAAACGUACAAGCGUUAAACCCAUUUUUAGUGAAAGAACCUCUGAGGGCUUUGGACUUGUUUCUUGCUAAAAUAGUAGCCAGCUCACUAACUUCUUAUUUCUUAAAAUUGGAAUUCGAUCCAUCAACUGGAUGGUGCUAAAUAUUUAUAAGACAAGAUACACCUGUUAGCAACCUCUGAACCUCCCCUAGUGUAUUUAUCAAUCAUAGUACAAAUGUAUUGACAAGCUUGGUUUACAUGGUAGAACUUAUAUAGAUGUCUUUGGAGACGGUAUUCACUUGUUUUGCAAUGAAUGAUUCUGGGUGCUUGAAAGCAGCCACUGUACCUUUUGUCGUACCUUUGUAUUAUUUCAUAUUGGGAUCUGGUGCUGGACAGCUGGAGUUUACAUUUUUUAUUGACAAUGGGAAUGUUUCCAGCCUAUGCUGGUGUUAAAUCUUCACCUACUUCUUUGUAUUUUGAAAAAUGUACCGACAUAAUAUCUUUUCACUGUUUACGAAGUCUAAAUGAUUACAAUUGAGAACAAUUUUACACAUCUUUCUGCAGGACAUUCAUGAUGGAUUGGAUUUUUCACAGCAUGAAGAUGUUCAAUAUUCAUUUGGAAUAUUCUCUGUGAAAUUCUCCUCUGAUGGCCGGGAACUUGUUGCUGGCAGCAAUGAUGAAUCAAUAUAUGUCUAUGACCUGCAUGCAAACAAAUUGACAUUGCGUUUACCUGCUCAUACAGUAUGACAAAUUGCUUACUUUCUUGGCUUACAUAAGCCAUAAAUUUUUUACUUGAUCCAAAUUAUGUUUUGUACGUGGGCCCUUUUUUAGUUCACAUCUCACUCUUGGGAGAUUGGGGUUGAUUUCCAACUCCAAUGUUCGUAACCUGGUUGCUCUAUUGUCUCGUUGCUCCAAGAAACUCCAUUGAUGCUUAUAAAGAUGUGAUCCUUAUGUCCUGCCCUUUUCUGGCAAGUGGCAGUAUUAAUGUCCUAAGUGUAGACUUGAGUUUCAGAAGAAAGAAGUGAUAUUUCUGGAUCCAAAGGUAGAUGGUGGUAUAGGUUAGUUGUUUUAUUGUGCUUAAAAAAGACACAGGAGCCCCUGGUCUGAUUUAUUCCCUUCGCUGGGCUUGGAUGUCUACCAUGCCAAAUUUUUUGAGGUACUAGCAUAUGCAUCCAAAUUUCCAGCCCUUGGAGAUUGUGGAGCUGAUGGCAUCCAAAUUUCUGGCCUUUAGAGAUUAUGGAGCUGGUGGUAUCCAAAUUUCUGUCCCUUAGAGAUUAUGGAGCUGAUUGGCACAACAGCAAAGAAGUUUGGAGCUGUUCUAAGAAGCCAAGUGCAUCACAAUUUUCGUCCCUGACUAUUUUGGUACAUGACUCCAGGUCUUUUUGAUUUUACUCUAGACGUGGAACCACGAGAAAUACUUGAUUGUCAUGUGGUGUUGAAUGGUUAGGCAGUGAUGCCUCUUGCCUGAUCAAGAAUAGAUUGACACCCCCAUUUCAAAUCGACCCUUAGGAACACUUGUGUGUUGCACAUGAGCCCUUUUCUAGCUGUGCUUGUUUGGAUACAAGCUAGUUUUGGAUAGAGAGAUGUCUCUGUCUGUACAGAAGAGGCAGAGAAAGCUUAAGACAAUAGCAGAAAUAUGAGAGGCCCUCACUAAGGAUGGAAACAGAGUAUGAUGGAAAAAAGCUUAUGAUCCAUCAAGUAGGACCACCGAAGCAUGAGCUGAAGUAGAGCUUGCAUCAUGUGGCCCAUAUGUAAGUCAAAUGGAAGGGAUUUAUACAGGAGUUGUAUAGCCGAGUUUUGAAAGAAAGAAAAGGCUGGCUUCCAAUCUCAUACUAUCCAUCUAUUCCCGGGACUCAUUCUUGCUGCUGUACCACUGUUCCUCUUAGGUUAUGCUGCUCAUACCACAGCGCUGACAAUAGGAGUCCUCAGACCUAGUCAACACAAAGUGUUCUCCUUUCCUCCUCUCUUGUCCCUUCCAUCUGCCCUCCUUGAUAUUUCCUGCUUGGGCUGGUUGUACCAUACAGCAGCAUUUUUGCAAACUCAACCAACACUGUGUUGUGUGAACCCCUUGGAGUGGAAGGUGGACACUGGGACUGGUAAAAAAGGAGUGUGCAGCUCAAUGGUUCUUUAGUCAAAAUACCUGUCGAUUGGGCUCCUAAUGGACCCAGCUGCAAUGCCUCGUCUCCUCAUGCUCUGCACCCACAUCCUAUGGCUUGGUUGAUGAGUUCCUCUUCUUGUUGAGGGUUUUAAAUAUUGUGGGUGAGAAGUGAAUUUUCGUGAAAGUCGACGGGAGUGAAGCUGACUACUUCUUUCAGAUAGUAUCCAAAUAAACUAGGCCACACAUAGGAAAUGUCUCCAACUGUGAUAACCUUUUUUCGUUUAUGCUAUUUGUUGAAUAUUUUUUAUGAUAAAAAGGGUAAAAGAAUGUUUUAGGAUGCACAUGCAUCCCACGGAGGGGAGUAAUAUGUGCCUUGUCACAGCUACCGAAACCUCACUAAUUUGCUAUUCUGUGAUUGUUACCAUCUUGAUAGUCUUUCUAUACUUCAUAUUUUAUCUGUUGGUUUAUAGAAUGAUGUUGUCAUUCAAUUUUCAUCUUUUCAGUCUGAUGUCAACACAGUAGCGUUUGCUGAUGAAAGUGGCCAUCUCAUAUAUUCUGGAAGUGACGACACUUUAUGCAAAGUAGGUCGCUGUUCUAAAUUUUGUAAACUUGUCUCCAUUAACAUAUUUGAUCGAAUUAUUUCUCUGAUUUCUUCAUCAUACCUUGACAUACGUAUUUCUAAGGUGUCUUUUGUGCUACUCCAUUUUCUUUAUGGGAAAAAAAAUCAAUUUUACUUCCCUGGAGACUUUUAGUUGUCUGGAUAGCCUCUCAGAACUAUCCACCUGAACAAUUAAAAACAGGGUCACUUUACUACCACCUAGCACAUUUAUCCUCUUUUUUUCCGUUCCACACAGGCUGUGUUACAAGUUGAAAUUUUGUGCGAUGAUAUAUGGAAUCAUGCCUUUGUUACAAAAUAUUUUCAUGACUAUCAAUGUAAGUUUGGAGCAGUGAAACUGCUUUAACCCUCAAGAUAUGAAAAUGUUUGCUAACAGUAAAAAAACAUGGAACUAUUUUGUAACAUAUUGCAUGAUGUUAUCUACCAUCAGCCAAACUCAAAAUAUAACUUAUACAAGGAGAAAGAAAAAAGAUAAAUGCCAGUAGGGGUUGAAGUGUCCUUGUUUUAGCAGUUCAGAGGUUAUAUGGACCAAAACCUCGAGGGAGUAAGACCUUUUCUAAAGUGGGGACAUACUGAUUCUUUAUUAUGCUACCUUAAUAUGAAGUGCUGGUCAAAUAUUUAGCGUUUACUUAAUCUUCUUAUUGUUUCUACUUGAUACCAUAUGCUUGGUAUUGUUGCAUGAAUAAAAUGAGAUGUUUUGACUAUGUUAGAUGUUAAACUAGCUACUGCAACAUUCUAGCAUGGCAUGCUUAUUUCUUUAUUUUUAUUGCAUAUCACUCUGACUUUAAUUCUCAAAUGAAACUAGUGUCCAAAUUUAAUUCAGGAUAACUGAUUCAGAUGAUGAAAUUGGCACAUCAAAACCUCAAAUCUUUCUUUUGUGCCCGUGAUUGUAUUUUCAACCUUCUGGAUUUUUUUGCAGUCUGUUUCAGUGCUUUAGGGUUGGAUAUUCUGAAGUUUCCCUGGGAAAAUACGAAGAAAAACGUUUGAUGUUCUAAAUUCUGCUCAUUUCAUCAGUGCUACGGUAUGUGAUCUUUGUAGUCUGCAGGUCUGGGACAGACGAUGUUUAUCUGCAGGACAAGCUGCCGGAGUUUUGACUGGACAUUUGCAUGGGGUAACACAUAUUGAUAGCCGUGGAGAUGGCCGAAGUUUCAUAUCCAAUGGAAAGGACCAAGCAAUCAAAUUGUGGGACAUUAGGAAAAUGAUGUCCAAUGCUGAUAGGUACUCUCAUGGAAUCGAAAUACAAGUCCAUCUAGCCAUUCCUGAUCUUCUACCAAUAUAAAUUUAUAUACAACUUAAAGGAACAUUUUUGCUGCCUCCUUUUCUGCUUUGCUCCUCUUUUUAUCUUAAUAUUUUGACAAUCAUUGAUGGACCACCCACUUUAAUUCAUGUGCACACCAAAUGUGGAAACCAAAUGAACAUAUAUGUGGAAUAAGAGGGAGUAUGUGUUGUGAUACUGAUCUAAAAUGUGUCUGAUGUACAUGAGAUGAGGAUCAUGUGUUGUGGGCCUCCCUCAACAGUGGCCAGUUUGCCGACUCCAUUCUCUUAUCUUAAAAAGGUUUUCAGAUUUUGAUUUAUUGGCCAUCUUACAGUGUGAUGCUAGUCUAUUCUUCCGUGCAGUUGUGCAGAUGAUGCCCCCACUUGGGACUACAGACUUUCGAGGUAUCCACAGCAGAAUAAACAAUUAAAGCAUCCCCAUGAUCAGUCAUUAGCUACAUACCGGGGUCAUUCAGUCCUCCGCACAUUGAUCCGUUGCUACUUUUCUCCUGCGUAUAGGUAACCUUUUUCCAUUUAUUCCAUUUAUACGGUAUAUCUAGGUGCUUACAUCAUUGAUGUAUAAUUUUUCUGUUUCUACAGCACGGGGCAAAAGUACAUAUAUACAGGAUCAUAUGAUUCCAGCAUUUACAUCUAUGAUGUGGUAUGGCUGAUCUUGGCAUGCACUUCAUUUAUAGAAAUUAAUCUCCUUGUCGCGAGGAAAGCAUGCCAUUUUGACAGCAAAACUUUUAGAUACACGCUGGGAAAACUUGUGCACAAUCUGACAGAAGAAAAGAGAGCAAAAAGUUGCUCAUAAUUCAUAAACAACGUCAAGAACUCUUUGCAUAUUUGUUUCUCAACUUCGUUUCAUGUUACAGGUAAGCGGAUCGCAAGUAGCGAAACUGAAAGGGCAUCAAACGGCGAUUCGAGACUGCAGCUGGCACCCAUUUGAACCCACGCUUGUGAGCUCAUCCUGGGACGGCCGGGUCGCUAAAUGGACCGGUGCCCGUGACGAGGAGAUUUCUGAUGUCGAUUGAGCCUAGUGUGCAGUGAUCAGUAAUACUUCGUGGUCUGCGAAAACAUACGCAAUCUUAUAUACGGGAAAACUAAGAAUAGCUCUUCAAAACAACAGAAGGAUCAUGUGUUGUAAAUUGUAAAUACUGAACACAGAAACCAUGUUGAGUGCAUAAGCACUACUGUGUCCUCUUAAAUACUCUGCAUAAAAAGCUUCCUGUCCCUACGGACGUGUGUCCUCUUAAUUGUCGAUGUUCCGCUGAUUAUUUGGUUCUUAGAUCAUCGGAAGCUCAUCCUUUCUGUAAAUGAAUUUUCUUGGGGUCGUCCUUUUGUAAAUGAAAAUUACCUUAGCAUAUCUUUUGAUGGGAAUGCGGCAAGUAAUCGGUAUUCUAACCCGGUAGAUGCAAGGCGAACACCGACGAAACCUAAUUCCAUUCCAGAUUUUUCCAUAUCCAAGCAACACAGAUCUUCCAACACGGACAGAGAGAGAUUUCAUCGUCUAUCCGCUACGACACCACGCAAUUUUAACAGAUCCGGCGACACCGGCUAAACCCGAUGCCUCCUCUCUAAAUCUGAAGAUCCCCGGCUACUUCUUGACGCCGUUCUUGCCGGCGCCCUUGCCGCCCUUGGCGUCGGCGCCCCCCGCGGCCUGCGCCGCCUUCCUUGCAGCCUUCUCCUGCAGCGCCUUGGCGUCCCGCUCUCGCCGCUGCUCCGGCGUGAGCCCGUCGUCGCGCCCCUUGGCCACCGGCCGCCGCGCCUGCGCCCUCUGCCGGUCCCGCUCCCGCUGGUCGCCGCGUGCAGCCCCCCGCUCAGGUCAAGGACAACACCAUCCAAAAACACACCGAAACAAAAGGAAAGAAAAAAAAAGAUUCUACCAAGAUCUAAGGAUAACAGAACAAGAAGAUGAAAAUCCAAAGAGAGAGAGAGAAAUUCUACGCAUGGUGUGGUGGAGGAUAUGAGUC